GACGAACGCUGGCGGCGUGCUUAACACAUGCAAGUCGAACGGAAAGGCCCUGCUUUUGUGGGGUGCUCGAGUGGCGAACGGGUGAGUAACACGUGAGUAACCUGCCCUUGACUUUGGGAUAACUUCAGGAAACUGGGGCUAAUACCGGAUAGGAGCUCCUGUUGCAUGGUGGGGGUUGGAAAGUUUCGGCGGUUGGGGAUGGACUCGCGGCUUAUCAGCUUGUUGGUGGGGGAGUGGCUUACCAAGGCUUUGACGGGUAUCCGGCAUGAGAGGGUGACCGGCCACAUUGGGACUGAGAUACGGACCAGACUCCUAAGGGAGGCAGCAGUGGGGAAUAUUGCACAAUGGGCGGAAGACUGAUGCAGCAACGCCGCGUGCGGGAUGACGGCCUUCGGGUUGUAAACCGCUUUCGCCUGUGACGAAGCGUGAGUGACGGUAAUGGGUAAAGAAGCACCGGCUAACUACGUG
RNAcentral lists this ribosomal RNA (468 nucleotides) under uncultured bacterium. RNAcentral's name for it is "partial 16S ribosomal RNA". It matches the Rfam family "Bacterial small subunit ribosomal RNA", at positions 28 to 507 of the family's 1533-position model. The record is from RNAcentral.